UACAGGGGGGGCAAGCGUUGUUCGGAAUUACUGGGCGUAAAGGGCUCGUAGGUGGCCAACUAAGUCAGACGUGAAAUCCCUCAGCUUAACUGGGGAACUGCGUCUGAUACUGGAUGGCUUGAGUUUGGGAGAGGGAUGCGGAAUUCCAGGUGUAGCGGUGAAAUGCGUAGAUAUCUGGAGGAACACCGGUGGCGAAGGCGGCAUCCUGGACCAACACUGACGCUGAGUGAGCGAAAGCCAGGGGAGCAAACGGG
This 254-nucleotide ribosomal RNA is filed under the name uncultured bacterium. RNAcentral's name for it is "partial 16S ribosomal RNA". It matches the Rfam family "Bacterial small subunit ribosomal RNA", at positions 524 to 776 of the family's 1533-position model. The record is from RNAcentral.